UGGGACGACGUUAAGUGCGGAGUACCUGUACUUCUGUUGUUCACUGACAUCUGGUUGUUCUGAAAUACUUUUUUCACUGUUGUCUAAACCCCUAGAGAGCCUUCCACAUGUCCAUGUACAGAGAAAGGAUGACCUGAGUUUCAGAGGAGUAAACUUGGCCUUAGGAGAAUAUUGGGUUACAGAAGUCUUGGAUCUCAACCUUGUGCCUCAGACAUCCUAGGACCUAGAUGGUGGAUGUAACGAGAAGAUUGUCAUUUCCAUUUUUUAUAGGAUUCUUUUUUGAAGUGGCAAGAUGGUAAGGAGUGUCUCUUUUCAGACACUUUCAGAAUAUCAACAGUUUUUAAAUUCUUCCAAGACACUAGGUAUACAUGUCUGACAAGCUGAAGGUUUAUUUCUUAAAAUCCACAAAGAGCUGGUUGAAUGCUGUAAAAUAAUGUCCAUAUCACAAAACAUCUGUUUGAGUCUGAGUCUGGCUACACAUAUACCUCUUACUAUUCACUAAACUAAUGUUUGCACAAGAUUUUUGUAAAUGUUUUGGAAGGGUCUGUUCUCCAUAUGGAUAGACAUAUUUGGGUAUCCAUGCCUAAGCAAGACUAUUUACUAUUCAUCAUGUGUUAUUCAGUAUUUGUUUAGUUAUUAUUUGUCAUUUUAAAAAAAAAUUCCUGUUCACAAAGUCUCAGUUAUCAAGCCAGGUAGCAAAAACAAGACUGUCUGAUAUAAAUGACCCACAGCAUAACACAGACAGUAUUUAUGUAGGAAUCAAUGUGAAUGAUCUGUAGGUUGAAAAUCCAAGGUGUUGGGUAAAUAUAAGCAAAUAGCAGGAAAUCAUUGUUGCUUUUUGCAGAGGAUUCCUGGCAAGAACAAAGAGAUAAAUUAAUCAACCAAUUCAUUAGCAACAAAUAAUUCAACCAGUUUUACUCUAUAGUGAUUCCAUGUAUACCCAAGCUACAGUUUUUUCCUGCUGUAUGUUCAUUUCCUUUGGCUUGAGAAAAAAUAUCUCAUCUCUUCCCCCAGCCUGUGCGUGUUCUUUAAUAUUUCACCUUGGUUGCUGUUAAUACCAAAACCAACAUAAUAUAAUGGCAGCCAAAUGCUCAUUUAAAUCUUCUGGCUGGCAUAGCUUUCCUCACUAAUGGCAGAGGAAGCACCCCCAUGCUGUCAAAGCACAGGCUAAUGUAUAAUGAGGAGGAUCAUGGAGUGUAGUUUAAAACCAGUACGUUUCCCUACUUGUAGGUGCUGUUAACAAGUAGAAACCUGGUAUCUGCUGCAUAACUCCUCUAUAUAUUUAUUUGAAAAAUGUCACUAAAAGUUUCCCUUACAGACAUGCACAAUCAUAGCUCUGUCCUUUUCAUUUCAACAACUGAGUGCCUGGUUAAAUAAA
This is a long non-coding RNA of Alligator sinensis (Chinese alligator), 1378 nucleotides long. RefSeq lists it as uncharacterized. The record is from RefSeq and is a predicted model, not a curated record. NCBI's taxonomy places the organism in Eukaryota, Metazoa, Chordata, Crocodylia, Alligatoridae. The transcript is spliced from 3 exons.